UAGCUUUUUUAUUAGUUGUACGCAAAUUUACACAUGCAAGCAUCCCCAAGCCAGUGAGAAUGCCCUUAAAAUCAAUUUAUGAUAAGAAGGAGCGGGUAUCAAGUACACAUGAAAGUAGCUCAAUACACCUUGUACAACCACACCCCCACGGGAAACAGCAGUGAUAAAAAUUAAGCUAUAAACGAAAGUUCGACUUAGUUAUGCAAUCUAUCUAGGGUUGGUAAAUCUCGUGCCAGCCACCGCGGUCAUACGAUUAACCCAAAUUAAUAAAUACCGGCGUAGAGAAUGUUUAAGAAUAUAACCAAACUAAGAUUAAAUUUUAUCUAUAUCGUAAAAAAUUCUAGACAAAUUAAAACUCAAUAAACGCAAGUAAUCUUAUAAUAUCUGAACACAUGACAGCUCAGACUCAAACUGGGAUUAGAUACCCCACUAUGCUGAGCCAUAAACAUAAAUUAUUGAACAAAACAAAAUAUUUCGCCAGAGGACUACCAGCAACAGCUAAAAACUCAAAGGACUUGGCGGUGCUUCACACCCGCCUAGAGGAGCCUGUUCUGUAAUCGAUGAACCCCGAUAAACCUCACCACUGUUUGCUAAUACAGCUUAUAUACCGCCAUCUUCAGCGAACCUUAAUAAAGGAAAAAAGUAAGCACAAUCACAAGCAUAAAGACGUUAGGUCAAGGUGUAGCCAAUAAAGUGGGAAGAAAUGGGCUACAUUUUCUUAACAAAGAACAUCUAAACGAAAACUAUUAUGAAAUUUGAUAGUGUAAGGAGGAUUUAGUAGUAAAUUGAGAAUAGAGAGCUCAAUUGAACAAGGCCAUGAAGCACGCACACACCGCCCGUCACCCUCCUUAAGUAAACACGUGUGUAUGAUCAUGAUAAGCAACACACAAAACAUGAAAGGAGACAAGUCGUAACAAGGUAAGCAUACUGGAAAGUGUGCUUGGAGUA
Molecule: non-coding RNA, 948 nt
Rfam family: Bacterial small subunit ribosomal RNA